Molecule: non-coding RNA, 1717 nt
Organism: Oryzias latipes (Japanese medaka)
Lineage: Eukaryota; Metazoa; Chordata; Actinopteri; Beloniformes; Adrianichthyidae
Source: RefSeq, a predicted model, not a curated record
GAAAGUUUCCACAAUCAUCCCUUUUUUUUAUUUCACCUUUGCUUCAGACUCUGCCAUUACAGAGUCUGCAGUAGACGUGUGCCGACUUUUGCUACAAACGCUCCUUUACUACUUCUCUUGGUUUUCAGGACAUCGUAAGGAUUUCGCUUCCAGAUCAACCAGCUCUUCCAGUUUUACCUGCCUGCAGUGAACCACCUGAGUUCCUGAGAUCUGAUGUCGGCCCCUCAACAGACUCGAGUAAGAACCCUCCUUUGUCAUGUUAGUGGAGAACAACAACAGACCCGGAUGCUGGAACCCGGAAAGAAGACGGAUACAGGAAUGGAUUACAGUCACUGUUUAUUGGGAGGAAACUGGCAUUCAGGAAAAGUGUUCUGUGGCUGGAGGAGGACUCUGUGAUGACGUCUUGGGAUGACGGCCGGGAACAAACUACAUUCAUUAAUUUCUCCUUCAUGAUCAAAUUUCAACGCAAGUUCAAUGGCUGCACGUUUUGUACAUAGAACAGGACAUUUAAAACGUAGCCAUGUGUAAACGCAUGUGUGGACUUUUUAUUGUUAGGGAUUGCUUGCACGCAUUAUGCUGAGGCUUAUUUGAACGUAGCAUUAUGAAAGUUGAUUGACAGGUUAUGUCAAUUUAUGUAUUUUUUUUUAAAUAAAUGUAUUGCCAACACAAAGCCAAGGUAGAUUGUGUGCUAAAAUCUUUAUGGUAUUGUGGAUAAACAAAGAUAGUGCAGGUAGCCUUAACAAGAUGAAACAGAAAGUUAAGAUUUAGGUAACUAGAGUACUUUUAUUCUUGUAUGCAGAUUAAAGGGAUACCAUUCUGAGAGAACCCACCCACGAGGCCGAUGUUGAGGCUGAGCCAGGAGAAUAAAUGCCUCUCAUUCAUGACAAAUGCCAUGACAGAUGAGGGGAGACUUGAUUCCAAACGUGACCAUGUGUCAUGGUGCCUCUGGGAGUCUCUCCUCCCCCUCCCCUCUCUGUUCUGCUUCCUGAUUUGGAUCAGCUGGUAACACUCACCUCAUCAACCACCAGCCUUCAUAGGGAUAUUCAGUUCCAGCGUUCAUCGCCAGUUCGUUGCCCCUGAUGGACUUCAAACCACUAGUGUUCACCUGAGUCACACGUCUCCAAAAGCAGACUUAUCCUCACUGAAAAUCCUGAGAACUCCAAGCCACGCCAAGACCUCCAGACACGCCACGACUCCAAGCCACGGCAAAAAUAAAACUCAAUUACUUAUCAUCUUACUCACCUGUGUUUUCCUUCCGGGUUCCAGCGCCUGGGUCUGUCCCGCCUAGCAAGUCAUGACACCAUGGAUUCUUUUGGUCAGUUGUUUGUCAUCCUGACAAAGAGAAGAUUCCUACAAAUGUUCAAUUUGAGGGCAAGUCAAACACCAUCUGAACAAACUGUUUCUAAGCACCACGAUCGGAUCAACAAUCGGCAUGACCCAUCUAUCUCCAUCAGAAAGAAAUGUUGAUCCGAAUGAGUCCGAUCAGGGCAUGUAAACGCAGCUAUUGAGAGAAAUGAUGAAUAAAGACCAGAAUGUAGACAUAAAAGACACAAACUGAAAAUGGAGAAAAGAUUUAUUGUAUAAACUAAAAAAACUUUCAUGGGCUGAAUCAUGCUGGCCGAAACUAGAACAGGAUCUUACUCAGUUGUCAGAAAAGGAUGUUACAGAGUCCUGACCACUAUAUCAUAGAGACCGAACAGAAGAAAGUUAAUAGGAU